Molecule: long non-coding RNA, 926 nt
Organism: Seriola aureovittata
Lineage: Eukaryota; Metazoa; Chordata; Actinopteri; Carangiformes; Carangidae
Exons: 2
Source: RefSeq, a predicted model, not a curated record
GGGGCCGGACUCCGUCCAGUUUUCUUCCUACAAAAACCUCUAGAGUUGACAGAAGAUCGUCUCGACCGGGACAGAAGAAAGUAGGUUUCAGAGAAUCAAAUGCAAAAUAAAAGCUAUGAAAACUUCCCAUUUCCUGAACUUUAGAAAGUGUUUUACAUCAUCAAGUUCAUCCCUGCCCCGGCGGAGUCGCUGAGGACCAGUGACAGGCAUCGACAGAAGACUGCAUUUAUUUUCAGACCCACACCCGCCCUCUUAACAUUUAUCUCAGUGUUUGUCAAGGUCUGCAAGGAAUGGUCGCUGCUAUUAGACUGGUCCUGAAACACAGACAGCAGCAGAGCUCGUCCGCUGCCUUCAACUGCUGUCCGCAGGGAAGUGUUCAUGUGACAUAAAGCGACAUCAACACUGUUAAAUGUGACUGGCGGCCUGUGUACAUAAAGAGUUAUUGGCGUCUAAACGAAAGGAUUUGAGCAAUUCCUCCGACAUCCUCGGUUGGAUUGCUGGGGAAUGCUUGCCAUUCGGGACAGGAAACAGGGAGCGGCACAUCUCUGAUUGGCUGGAUUCCCUGACCCAGCGACCUCGGUCAUGGCUGUCCCACUGGGGGUGGGACACACACACACACACACACACACAAUUUAGAGUAUGUGACAGAGAAAGCAGAAGGAAAGAAGGAAAUGGGAUAAAAAUGAUGGAAAAUUAACUCAUCAUAUCUAACAUAACAGUAUAGCAGUAAUAGUCAUUUGAGUGACUGCUCAGUGUUUUAGUUUUAGUGUGAGACCUUUUGAGACUUUGGAAACAUGUGUUCAGACCUGUCCAUGUGUGUAACCUUUUUCCGUAUGCAUAGGGAAUAAAUGGAAACUGACAUGAAAGUGCACAGACGUGUUUUAUUCAGAAAGCUGAAAAUGAAUAAUAAAGUGAAAACAUUAAUA